UGAUCCUUCAACUGGCGAUUA
This 21-nucleotide non-coding RNA is filed under the name Arabidopsis thaliana (thale cress). The record is from RNAcentral. Lineage: Eukaryota; Viridiplantae; Streptophyta; Magnoliopsida; Brassicales; Brassicaceae.